UAGGUAGGCGCAGGCGAUACCUUCGGCAUGGCUGUAACUCAUGAAUCCUGUGCGGGAAUGGGCGGCAUCAGGGGUGCCGGCGACUUGGUUUUCCGCAUG
This 99-nucleotide non-coding RNA is filed under the name bovine gut metagenome. RNAcentral describes it as "Pyrrolysine insertion sequence mtbB". It matches the Rfam family "Pyrrolysine insertion sequence mtbB". The record is from RNAcentral.